AAUGCGAAUUCCCUGAAUCAGUACAGUGUUCUACAAGCUGUGGCUCAUCCCACAUAAACAGGCUCUGGAAGAGCUUCUUCCGCUUUCUUAUAAAUAACAUAAACAACAAGCUUGAUAGCGGCGGUGAAGUGUGGGCCAGGACACUGUUAUAAGUAGCCAAUUUAAUGACAUUUGUCUUCACACACUUGAUUGAUUUUGGAGCUCCACAGACUUCGUGCACUACACAUACGCACAUAAACCCUUGCUAUCUCUGUCGAACAUCACGAGACCCCACAGAAAAAGACUUGUGCAUCUUGGAGUUUCAAUUUUGCCCAAGCCACAACCGCUAACUUCCUCAAGGAUAAUCCUCUGGGGAAGGCAGGACUUUGAAAUCCAAUUAAGAAAUUAACUUCUUCCCUCAUUUUGGCAGUGAUUGUAAUUUCCCUCUGGGCUUGUGGAUUUUAGAUGAUGGAAACUGUGAGAAGAGGUGGUUAUAGGGAUGGAUUUAGGACAUCAUGGUGAACCGCUGUAGGCUGGGAAAUGAAAUGUAGAGAGCUGAUGGAGCUUCCCAACGAUCCAAGCAUGCUAAAAUGUCAUCGAGUAGACAAACGGUGGAAAGUGAUGGUCCUAACUAUGAGUAGAAGAGCAGCAAUGUAGUGUGAUCACAUUUUAACUGAUAACAGAGUGGUCUAAACCUCUGAGACCACCAGUAACCACGUCCAUUUUCCUACAUUAAUUGAUGCAUUUACUAUAUUUUUCUUGCAAUGCAAAAUGAGAGCUUAAACAUAAAGGUGUCAAUGUUUUUUUUGUUUUUUUUUGGGUUAAUUUGUUUUCUGUCCGGCAGUUAACAAGUAGGAUGUAUUAAGCGGAAUGUCAUAUUUUGAUGGACAAUUUUGCUUUUUCAAGAGAAGUAUAUAAAUAAUACAUAUAAUGCUGUUGAUUAAUGUUUUAUAUUAGUUUUUAUCAGUCUUUAUAUUUAGGAUGGUUGGCAAAUAGGUUGAGUCUGUGUGUGUGUGUGUGUGUGUGUGUGUGUGUGUGUGUGUGUGUGUGUUUGUAACUGCAGUACUGUUGUUAACUGUUAAAUUAAUAUUAAUACCAAGGUGUCAAAGUUAAGAGCAAGCAAAACUGCCACAAAGUUGAUAUUUUGCCUGGUUCUUUUUAGAUGUUUUUACAUGUUUUACAUGUUUUUUACCAAUUUUAUUAUGUGAAUGGCGUUUGGGGGAGUUGCAGGGUUUAGAUUAAAAAUACGAAUUAAAUUGGACAAUUCCAAAAGAAUUGCUGAUGAAUUUGGCCUUUUUAGUGAUUUAAUAUCAAUUGCAUCUCUCCAGUGUUUAACUACAAAUAGUGGAUGAUAAUGAAACCGUAAGCGGUGCGAUGUCGCCCCCGCUCGGCCGUUUGGUGGCAUCGCAGCCGGUUCUUAAUGGAGUCUUGUCUAAGCGAUCAUUAUUUUCCUCACAGAAAAGAUAACUGCUGUUCCCCGUUGACGCCGUGACACGGGGGUCACCGUGUUUCUACACACUGCUAGAAGCGCAGAGCAGGGCUUUUCGCCGCUGAGGACCUCGAUGUCACCGCACACGUGGAGGCUGGAGCCAAACGCCAGCUCCUGUCGUUAACACUGCUUUUAGGAGCGCGUGUCUCCUCCGGUUCAAAGGAGCACGAGCGUGACGUCUUCAACCUUUCACCUCGGAUGUGCAAUGCAGUAUGGGAAAUGGAGUCUUUCGAACGUACCACGUAAUCCUGUAAAUUUACAUUCAAUGGACAGAGGAACUGGCGUGUCUGUUAUCCAUUGUUGCAGCGCUUCCUGUCGGGUGGAGUAGGAUCCAUGUGAUGAAGAAGCCGGAACAUGACGUGACGUGUUGAGAAUCUCCUCUCCUCUUCUCUCCCAGUCUAGAAGAAUAUUGGGUUCUAUAAAAAGGUUACAUAAAGACUGCAUGUUAAAGUGGAAACUCUUAAUUUUGACAACCUGGAGAAAUAUAAAUGAAAAGAAACAAGAUGCAAACGUUAUAGUGAACAUUAAGGUUAAAGUUCAGUAUAAUGUAUGUUGAUAUACAUAAAAAACAAGUUAUGAAAAUGGGCGAGGUCUCCACUCUGUGGCAUUUGAUUCCAGCUCGUACAUGAUCCUGUUUAACCAGAUCCGGGUGUGAACUAAUAAUGGGAAACCUUACUCAAUAGCUUUUGAUGCUCCCUUCAUGUGAAGCAGUCCUGUGUGUGUGUGUGUGUGUGUGUGUGUGUGUGUGUGUGUGUGUGUGUGUGUGUGUGUGUGUGUGUGUGUGUGUGUGUGUGUGUGACCAGCUGACAUUGUUUGCUGCUGUAUCACGCAUAUUCCUCAGCGCCGUAACCUGAUUACUCAUGCUGCUGAUUUAUCCUUGAUACCGAAGAAGCCACAUAUUCAAUUAGAUCAACAAAACCUCUUGUGUUGAGGCUCAGGGGACAGAAACUAGCAGCAGUACAGUUAACAUGUACUGCCUCUCCAUCUCCACAGUGAAACCUGAGCAAGUAAAACAGCCUCAGAGGGCACAACAGCAUUCACUUUAAUGAAAUUCCAAGUGGAAUUCCAACUUGCUUAUCUUCGCUGCCCUCAGGGAGCUAUGCAGUCGCCUCAAGGCUGUCAUGUUUUUUUUAUUUACUUGAAUAUUUUGCUGAUUAAAUGUUGAUGUGACUCUUCAAUCCCAAAGAAAAUGUCCAGACUUGAACUUUUUCAUGCUUUUAAUAAAUGUAAAAUAUGUUUUUUAUGUAGAUAAAUGAGCCAUGGAGGAGAUAUCUUGCUGUUGACUGCCUGUCUGGCUCUUAUACACAUCCUGAAGGCUGGACUGUGUCUUGUUAUCAUCAACUCAAUAAUAUAAUACGAUUGCAUUAUACUGUAGAGACAGCCUGUA
Long non-coding RNA from Betta splendens (Siamese fighting fish), 2855 nucleotides. RefSeq lists it as uncharacterized. The record is from RefSeq and is a predicted model, not a curated record. The transcript has 4 exons. NCBI's taxonomy places the organism in Eukaryota, Metazoa, Chordata, Actinopteri, Anabantiformes, Osphronemidae.